AAGGAUCAUUACCGGGUUACCAGGGGCUUCGGCCCCGCUCCCAACCCUUCGCAUCUCCGGCCUUGCUUCGGCGCACAGGGUGCAGAGGAUCCCCCCGUUCGCGGGGGGGCCCUCCGCGCCUGCCGAAUAUUGCCAACUCUGCCUCAAAACUUGAAGUCUGAGCGAAAUGAUUAAUAGCGAAAAACUUUCAACAACGGAUCUCUUGGUUCUG
Molecule: unclassified non-coding RNA, 211 nt
Filed under: uncultured fungus
Lineage: Eukaryota; Fungi
Description: partial contains 18S rRNA, ITS1, 5.8S rRNA, ITS2 and 28S rRNA
Source: RNAcentral